UACGAAGGGGGCUAGCGUUGUUCGGAUUUACUGGGCGUAAAGCGCACGUAGGCGGAUCGAUCAGUCAGGGGUGAAAUCCCAGAGCUCAACCCUGGAACUGCCUUUGAUACUGUCGAUCUGGAGUAUGGAAGAGGUGAGUGGAAUUCCGAGUGUAGCGGUGAAAUUCGUAGAGAUUAGGUGGAACACCAGAGGCGAAGGCGCCUGCCUGGCCAAACAUUGACGCUGAGGCGCGAAAGCGAGGGGAGCAAACAGG
RNAcentral lists this ribosomal RNA (253 nucleotides) under uncultured bacterium. RNAcentral describes it as "partial 16S ribosomal RNA". It matches the Rfam family "Bacterial small subunit ribosomal RNA", at positions 524 to 776 of the family's 1533-position model. The record is from RNAcentral.